UACGUAGGGUGCAAGCGUUAAUCGGAAUUACUGGGCGUAAAGCGUGCGCAGGCGGUUUUGUAAGUCAGAUGUGAAAUCCCCGGGCUUAACCUGGGAACUGCGUUUGAAACUACAAGGCUAGAGUGUGGCAGAGGGGGGUAGAAUUCCACGUGUAGCAGUGAAAUGCGUAGAGAUGUGGAGGAAUACCGAUGGCGAAGGCAGCCCCCUGGGCUAACACUGACGCUCAUGCACGAAAGCGUGGGGAGCAAACAGG
RNAcentral lists this ribosomal RNA (253 nucleotides) under uncultured bacterium. RNAcentral's name for it is "partial 16S ribosomal RNA". It matches the Rfam family "Bacterial small subunit ribosomal RNA", at positions 524 to 776 of the family's 1533-position model. The record is from RNAcentral.